RNAcentral lists this ribosomal RNA (492 nucleotides) under uncultured bacterium. RNAcentral's name for it is "partial 16S ribosomal RNA". It matches the Rfam family "Bacterial small subunit ribosomal RNA", at positions 30 to 507 of the family's 1533-position model. The record is from RNAcentral.
AUUGAACGCUGGCGGCAUGCUUUACACAUGCAAGUCGAACGGUAACAGGCCUUCGGGUGCUGACGAGUGGCGAACGGGUGAGUAAUGCAUCGGAACGUGCCCAGAGGUGGGGGAUAACGCAGCGAAAGCUGUGCUAAUACCGCAUGUGAUCUGAGGAUGAAAGCGGGGAACCAAGCAGCAAUGUUUGGCCUCGCGCCUCUGGAGCGGCCGAUGUCAGAUUAGGUAGUUGGUGGGGUAAAGGCCUACCAAGCCGACGAUCUGUAGCUGGUCUGAGAGGACGACCAGCCACACUGGGACUGAGACACGGCCCAGACUCCUACGGGAGGCAGCAGUGGGGAAUUUUGGACAAUGGGCGCAAGCCUGAUCCAGCAAUGCCGCGUGCGGGAAGAAGGCCUUCGGGUUGUAAACCGCUUUUGUACGGAACGAAAAGGCUCUGGCUAAUACCUGGGGCUGAUGACGGUACCGUAAGAAUAAGCACCGGCUAACUACGUG